UAUAGAUAUAUAGACAUAGAUAUAUUCCUGUUCCCAUUGCUUCAACCAUUUGUGACUUUUUUCUAGGUGAAGAAUUUCUGUGCUUGACAUAAACAUUUCUGGGGAAGUGUGCUCUUGUAUGAAGAAUGGCCCUAAAUGUGUCUCAGGAUGAGGUUUGCUUGCACCAAAGCUGUACAAGCCAAGGUCAGAGAAACUGAGGGAGGCUGAAGCUGCAUUAACACACAGGAACAUCCAGGGUCCAGCUCACAACUGCUCCAGUGAACUGCUCACAGCUGUGGAGGAACGUCAUGGCCAAAGCUGUGCUAGACCACAACACCAUGGAGAAAACUUGGAGUUGGUACAAAAGACUUUAGAGACGGCUGAGUACAAACUGCAAAAAUUCACCAAGUCCCUCUUUCUCUGAGCCCAGAUCUCUAGAUUUUUGAUAGUUUUAGCUGAAGACCUGUCAAUAGCUUCACUAAAUGAAGUAAGUCUCCAGCCAGGAUUCAUCUUUUAUUUAGAAGCAGCUACAUUGUUCCUUUGUAGGUUAUACAUUGCCCUCCUAUGUCCCUGUUUACUCCUCUAUCUGUUCUCUGGCAUUAUUCCCAUUUUACUGUGCUAUCUUUUUUCUACUUAAGCCACCUCAGGGUAUUCCCAUGGAAGGAAUCCCGUGAUAGAGCAGGCUGCUGAAGG
RNAcentral lists this long non-coding RNA (672 nucleotides) under Zonotrichia albicollis (white-throated sparrow). RNAcentral's name for it is "lncRNA (ENSZALG00000012349.1)". Lineage: Eukaryota; Metazoa; Chordata; Aves; Passeriformes; Passerellidae. The record is from RNAcentral.